AUUCGGCACCUUACAAAAAAGUCUGUGGAUGGAGCUGAGGGAAAACUUUUAAAUGGUCCUUUUCAUGGAACCUACCAAGGGAUAAAGGGUACUUUGGGUCAAAGGUCAUAUGGUUUUGAUGAUGGUGAUUUGGGCAGAAAAUAUAUUCAGACACAGAUGGUUGGCCUGGAUAAUGGACAUUAUUCAUACGCAUCCAGGUAUGCAUCCAAAGGU
Molecule: unclassified non-coding RNA, 213 nt
Filed under: Hevea brasiliensis (rubber tree)
Lineage: Eukaryota; Viridiplantae; Streptophyta; Magnoliopsida; Malpighiales; Euphorbiaceae
Source: RNAcentral